AGUGAACGCUGGCGGUAGGCCUAACACAUGCAAGUCGAACGGCAGCACAGUAAGAGCUUGCUCUUACGGGUGGCGAGUGGCGGACGGGUGAGGAAUACAUCGGAAUCUACUUUUUCGUGGGGGAUAACGUAGGGAAACUUACGCUAAUACCGCAUACGACCUACGGGUGAAAGCAGGGGAUCUUCGGACCUUGCGCGAUUGAAUGAGCCGAUGUCGGAUUAGCUAGUUGGCGGGGUAAAGGCCCACCAAGGCGACGAUCCGUAGCUGGUCUGAGAGGAUGAUCAGCCACACUGGAACUGAGACACGGUCCAGACUCCUACGGGAGGCAGCAGUGGGGAAUAUUGGACAAUGGGCGCAAGCCCGAUCCAGCCAUACCGCGUGGGUGAAGAAGGCCUUCGGGUUGUAAAGCCCUUUUGUUGGGAAAGAAAAGCAGCAGGUUAAUACCCCGCUGUUCUGACGGUACCCAAAGAAUAAGCACCGGCUAACUUCGU
RNAcentral lists this ribosomal RNA (491 nucleotides) under uncultured bacterium. RNAcentral describes it as "partial 16S ribosomal RNA". It matches the Rfam family "Bacterial small subunit ribosomal RNA", at positions 29 to 506 of the family's 1533-position model. The record is from RNAcentral.